Molecule: ribosomal RNA, 300 nt
Filed under: uncultured bacterium
Lineage: Bacteria
Description: bacterial SSU rRNA
Rfam family: Bacterial small subunit ribosomal RNA
Source: RNAcentral
UUUGCCUACGGGGCGCAGCAGUGGGGAAUAUUGGACAAUGGGGGGAACCCUGAUCCAGCGACGCCGCGUGAGUGAAGAAGUAUUUCGGUAUGUAAAGCUCUAUCAGCAGGGAAGAAAAUGACGGUACCUGACUAAGAAGCCCCGGCUAACUACGUGCCAGCAGCCGCGGUAAUACGUAGGGGGCAAGCGUUAUCCGGAAUGAUUGGGCGUAAAGGGUGCGUAGGCGGCCUGCUAAGUCUGGAGUGAAAGGUACCGGCUCAACCGGUACAGGCUCUGGAAACUGGCGGGCUAGAGAGCAGG